Molecule: ribosomal RNA, 1424 nt
Filed under: uncultured organism
Description: 16S ribosomal RNA
Rfam family: Bacterial small subunit ribosomal RNA
Source: RNAcentral
GCAAGUCGAGGGGCAGCGGGGGUAUUUUUACCCGCCGGCGACCGGCGCACGGGUGAGUAACGCGUAUGCAACUUACCUAUCAGAGGGGGAUAACCCGGCGAAAGUCUGACUAAUACCGCAUGAUGCAGGGGCCCCGCAUGGGGAUAUUUGCUAAAGAUUCAUCGCUGAUAGAUAGGCAUGCGUUCCGUUACGCAGUUGGCGGGGUAACGGCCCACCAAACCGACGAUGGAUAGGGGUUCUGAGAGGAAGGUCCCCCACAUUGGUACUGAGACACGGACCAAACUCCUACGGGAGGCAGCAGUGAGGAAUAUUGGUCAAUGGGCGUGAGCCUGAACCAGCCAAGUCGCGUGAGGGAUGAAGGUUCUAUGGAUCGUAAACCUCUUUUAUAACGGAAUAAAAUGUGGGACGUGUCCUAUUUUGUACGUACCUUAUAGAAUAAGGAUCGGCUAACUCCGUGCCAUCGGCCGCGGUAAUACGGAGGAUACGAGCGUUAUCCGGAUUUAUUGUGUUUAAAGGGUGCGUAGGCGGCCUUUUUAAUCAGCGGACGAAAGUCUGUGGCUCACCCAUCCAAUUGCGGCUGAAACUGGGGGGCUUGAGUAUGUUUGAGGCAGGCGGAAUGCGUGGUGUAGCGGUGAAAUGCAUAGAUAUCACGCAGAACCCCGAUUGCGAGGGCAGCCUGCCAAGCCAUGACUGACGCUGAUGCACGAAAGCGUGGGGAUCAAACAGGAUUAGAUACCCUGGUAGUCCACGCAGUAAACGAUGAUCACUAGCUGUUUGCGAUACACUGUAAGCGGCACAGCGAAAGCGUUAAGUGAUCCACCUGGGGAGUACGCCGGCAACGGUGAAACUCAAAGGAAUUGACGGGGGCCCGCACAAGCGGAGGAACAUGUGGUUUAAUUCGAUGAUACGCGAGGAACCUUACCCGGGUUUGAACGCAUUCGGACCGAGGUGGAAACACCUUUUCUAGCAAUAGCCGUUUGCGAGGUGCUGCAUGGUUGUCGUCAGCUCGUGCCGUGAGGUGUCGGCUUAAGUGCCAUAACGAGCGCAACCCUUGCCACUAGUUACUAACAGGUGAUGCUGAGGACUCUGGUGGGACUGCCAGCGUAAGCUGCGAGGAAGGCGGGGAUGACGUCAAAUCAGCACGGCCCUUACAUCCGGGGCGACACACGUGUUACAAUGGCGUGGACAAAGGGAGGCCACCUGGCGACAGGGAGCGAAUCCCCAAACCACGUCUCAGUUCGGAUCGGAGUCUGCAACCCGACUCCGUGAAGCUGGAUUCGCUAGUAAUCGCGCAUCAGCCAUGGCGCGGUGAAUACGUUCCCGGGCCUUGUACACACCGCCCGUCAAGCCAUGGGAGCCGGGGGUACCUGAAGUCCGUAACCACGAGGAUCGGCCUAGGGUAAAACUGGUGACUGGGGCUAAGU